CCUACGGGUGGCAGCAGUGAGGAAUAUUGGUCAAUGGCCGGAAGGCUGAACCAGCCAAGCCGCGUGAGGGAGGAAGGCGCAGAGCGUCGCAGACCUCUUUUGCCGGGGGACAAAAGGCCGGACUCGUCCGGUCCUGAGGGUACCCGGAGAAAAAGCAUCGGCUAACUCCGUGCCAGCAGCCGCGGUAAUACGGAGGAUGCGAGCGUUAUCCGGAUUUAUUGGGUUUAAAGGGUGCGUAGGUUGUUUUUUAAGUCAGCGGUGAAAGUUUGUGGCUCAACCAUAAAAUUGCCGUUGAAACUGGAAGACUUGAGUGUGUUUGAGGUAGGCGGAAUGCGUGGUGUAGCGGUGAAAUGCAUAGAUAUCACGCAGAACUCCGAUUGCGAAGGCAGCUUACUAAGCCAUAACUGACACUGAAGCACGAAAGCGUGGGGAUCAAACAGGAUUAGAUACCCCAGUAGUC
This 460-nucleotide ribosomal RNA is filed under the name uncultured bacterium. RNAcentral describes it as "partial 16S ribosomal RNA". It matches the Rfam family "Bacterial small subunit ribosomal RNA", at positions 338 to 795 of the family's 1533-position model. The record is from RNAcentral.